AAUAUUGGACAAUGGGGGCAACCCUGAUCCAGCCAUGCCGCGUGUGUGAAGAAGGUCUUCGGAUUGUAAAGCACUUUAAGUUGGGAGGAAGGGCUUUCGGUUAAUACCCUCAAGAUUUCACGUUACCAACAGAAUAAGUACCGGCUAACUCUCCGCCAGCAGCCGCGGUAAUACAGAGGGUGCAAGCGUUAAUCGGAAUUACUGGGUGUAAAGCGCGCGUAGGUGGUUCAGUAAGAUGGGUGUGAAAUCCCCGGGCUUAACCUGGGAACUGCUUUCAUAACUGCUGAGCUAGAGUACGGUAGAGGGUAGUGGAAUUUCCUGUGUAGCGGUGAAAUGCGCAGAUAUAGGAAGGAACACCAGUGGCGAAGGCGACUACCUGGACUGAUACUGACACUGAGGUGCGAAAGCGUGGGGAGCAAA
This 420-nucleotide ribosomal RNA is filed under the name uncultured bacterium. Its description in RNAcentral is "partial 16S ribosomal RNA". It matches the Rfam family "Bacterial small subunit ribosomal RNA", at positions 360 to 772 of the family's 1533-position model. The record is from RNAcentral.